This 253-nucleotide ribosomal RNA is filed under the name uncultured bacterium. Its description in RNAcentral is "partial 16S ribosomal RNA". It matches the Rfam family "Bacterial small subunit ribosomal RNA", at positions 524 to 776 of the family's 1533-position model. The record is from RNAcentral.
UACGGGGGGGGCAAGCGUUGUUCGGAAUUACUGGGCGUAAAGCGCGCGUAGGCGGACCUGCAAGUCGGGGGUGAAAGCCCGAGGCUCAACCUCGGAACUGCCUUCGAUACUGCGGGUCUCGAGUCCGGGAGAGGUGAGUGGAAUUCCUAGUGUAGAGGUGAAAUUCGUAGACAUUCGCAAGAACACCAGUGGCGAAGGCGGCUCACUGGCCCGAUACCGACGCUGAGGCACGAAAGCGUGGGGAGCAAACAGG